RNAcentral lists this ribosomal RNA (419 nucleotides) under Escherichia coli. Its description in RNAcentral is "partial 23S ribosomal RNA". It matches the Rfam family "Bacterial large subunit ribosomal RNA", at positions 452 to 873 of the family's 2925-position model. The record is from RNAcentral. Lineage: Bacteria; Pseudomonadati; Pseudomonadota; Gammaproteobacteria; Enterobacterales; Enterobacteriaceae.
ACCAUCCUCCAAGGCUAAAUACUCCUGACUGACCGAUAGUGAACCAGUACCGUGAGGGAAAGGCGAAAAGAACCCCGGCGAGGGGAGUGAAAAAGAACCUGAAACCGUGUACGUACAAGCAGUGGGAGCCUCUUUUAUGGGGUGACUGCGUACCUUUUGUAUAAUGGGUCAGCGACUUAUAUUCUGUAGCAAGGUUAACCGAAUAGGGGAGCCGAAGGGAAACCGAGUCUUAACUGGGCGUUAAGUUGCAGGGUAUAGACCCGAAACCCGGUGAUCUAGCCAUGGGCAGGUUGAAGGUUGGGUAACACUAACUGGAGGACCGAACCGACUAAUGUUGAAAAAUUAGCGGAUGACUUGUGGCUGGGGGUGAAAGGCCAAUCAAACCGGGAGAUAGCUGGUUCUCCCCGAAAGCUAUUUAG